AGCUCCCUUUUUCCCCCCUCCGAAUCAUUUUUGCAGACGUUAUUUUAUGCACUCUUCCGAAAUCCUUAUAAAAAUUAAUUAUAUACAUAUUGCUGUGUAUACACACAUUUGUAGUUUCUCACCAAACCAACGCAAUUUCCCCAAAUCUUGAAACUUAACGCAUUCAAAUUGUUCUUGUUUUUCCUUCAUACUUUUUGUCCCCCUCUGGGCUCUUUUGGGGUCCUUUGUAGGCUGUCUUGUUUCUUCUUAACCAGAGUCCACGGAGUUCCAAAUCAGUGUUGGUUUCCCGAUGCUGUUUUCUUCUUCAUCUGCCCACAUUUUUCCUCCCUGGGACCUGCUCAGUCCAUUCGCCAGGGCUCUUCACCUCUGUGUUGCCCACGCCCUUCUAAACAGGGGCUUUCUCGCGAGAGGUGUGGAAUAACAGCGUUAGAAAUGCACCCACUGACCCCGGACUGCGUGGAUUCAAAGCCUGGUUCUGGCGAGUUGCUUAACUCUCUGAACUUCUGUCUCCUCAUCUGUGCGACAGCAGAAACCAUGGUAUCCUCUGCACGGGUUGCUGCAAAGGUUAACUGAGUUAAUAGGUGCCAAGCCCUUGCUUGGGACAGAGCCUGGUGUAUAACAAUAAACGUUAGCAAUUGUCAUUGUGACUUCAACCAGCAGAUUGUUCUGUUAAAUAAUUGACAGCCUCUCUGAUGUCUCGUAGUUCUACGAUCUGCCUUGCAAGGAGACACAUUUAGGACACUGUUUCCAGCAGCUUCCUAUUGUUCCUUUGUAGUGCUCUACUCUGCCCAUAUUAGCACCUUCAGGACUUUGUCCCAACUCAGCUGCUGGGAGGAAGAAUAGAUCUGCCUUUGCUUACAGAAUGUGUGCUACAAACACGUCCCAGAGAAUGUAACUUUCAACUCACAGCAACGCAAGACAAAAACCACUUCCAGAAGGAUAUGCAUUCCACUUACUUUUUCUAGAUGCUCUAAAAAUCUGUCUUUGGAGUCAAUCACACCAACCAAGAGUUCUACAGCUGGCCCCAGUGUUUACCCACGUGGCACUAGCUGUCCUCAUCCACCUUUAGAGACCUGCUCUCUGGGUGCCUCCAGCAAGCCUCUCGCCAGAGGGAUGAGGAGUUACUAAGGGUCAGUGAGAUGUCCCCAGACCACAAGCCCUGGCUGCCCCUUUCAGACCAGCUUUUACAUCUGGGUCCCUGCGGUCCCCUCCUGGUACCUUCAUGGGCCUCUGUGCUGGCUCCUGUCCUUUGGAGGGCAGACCUCACAGCUGCUGUGGACACUCCUCAGGGCAGCUGUUGGCUGGGGGUCGGGCAGAGCUUGGGCACGUGGGCUGGGGUGGGGGGGUCCACAGGCGUGGGCAGGACGCCUGUCACGGUGUGGGGUGAAGCCAGGGUGGGAAUAAGACGAGGGUAAGGCUGUGGGCCUGGGGUCUCCACUUCAACUCUUGUCCCAGGUCCCAUAAAUGUUAGGGGGAGACAUUUUGCCCCCCUCUCCCAGACAGAUGCGACUUCACCGGACCACAGAGCCAUGCCAUUGGCAGGCAGGGUGAGAGCCAGCCCUAGACACUCAACACUGCGGUUACCGGGAGGCCCAGGACCUGCCCUCGGGGCUGAAGAUCAGGAUGCUUCCGAAGGACUAAUUAUGUUUACCUUCUGUCACUGUAAAUGUUGUAACAUGUAUUUGUUGCUAGAACACUCCACACUCCCAGCAAGUGCUUUGCACUAACCCCUCUCGGGCCUUAUCUUAUUUUUCCUACUCUUAUUUUCCUUUCGCCCACACACUCUUUGUUUAUAAAACCUGGGUAUCAUGUAUAUAUUUUUGUAAGUUGCCUCAUAUCCUGUUAGACACAGGGCUGGGUAGAAAACAAAAAGGGAAGGAACAGAGGACAGAUGGAAAAAGAGAACAAGACUUGUCAGCCUCAAGACUGGCCAGGGGCGCUGGAAGCACAUACCCUCUUGGCUCAUUGUCUUCAGAACCAAUAAGGCUAGUGCCAGCUGACACGGUAACCAUGGAAACCAAGCAUCCAGGGCUGGGGCGGGGCGUGGCUCCUGCCCUGGCUGCAUUCUUGACAGCUGGUUGAGCGUGGAAGCCCAGGCCUUGGCAUCCCAGUUUCCUGCAAGCUCCCUGACAGAGGCAUGGACCCUCAAGCCUCAUCUUUGUGUGCCCAUGCUUGAGGGUCUUCCAGGCCUGACCCAGGAGGCUUGCACGGCCUGUCCAGGACUCCCGGCUUGCCAUGCACCUGCAGGCCGCAGCUUUGCUUGGAACGAGACCUCAUCCUAUGGCCCAGACAUAGCAACCUGCGACGGGGAGUCAGCCACCAAACCGAAGCUCCGUGAGUGCUUCUGGAGAGGGAGUUUUGUGAGAGCCCCGAGCCAAGCAGCCACCUCCAGAACAUCUCAAAACAGACACAGCCCUGAAACAACCACAUUUUGCUUUAUUAGGCGUUCCAUGGUAAUAUAACACAGAGGUUUUAAGGAAUAAUAAACACGAGACUUGGUUUUUUACCAUAAUUAUUUUGCCAUUAAGACAGUGGUUACAAAAAAAAAAACAAAACAAAACCAAAAGUAUUCUUCUGGCUACACACUUUAUCAGCUUUAGAACUGAAAGUUCCUCCACUCAUGGGUCACGAUCACAAUUUCAAGGAUUAAAAACCAUCUAUUCUUAAAUCCUACACUGUUUUAGAGCAUCAAGCCACUGCAGUUAUUCAGUUCUGAGACACUGUCGAUUUAUUUUUAGCAUUUACAUAUGACAUUCAUUUAACAGACACACAAAGCAAGCCCACAGGUAAACAUGCUUACAACAGCCUGCAGAAAUCUUCAGGUUUUCAAUUGUUUGUUUUUUACGAAAACAAUCAAAACAACCAAAAUGACCAUGACCUGGUACAGGAAAAACAGGAAGACUCAAGUGAAUACUAAAGAGCUGCAAGUGUUUCUUAGAAUUGAAACAAAACAAAAAAAAAAAAUUUUUUUUCCAACUUGUUCAGAUUUCCUCUAAGUGCAGGU
Microcebus murinus (gray mouse lemur) is the source of this 3004-nucleotide non-coding RNA. Lineage: Eukaryota; Metazoa; Chordata; Mammalia; Primates; Cheirogaleidae. The record is from RefSeq and is a predicted model, not a curated record.